Long non-coding RNA from Eupeodes corollae, 661 nucleotides. RefSeq lists it as uncharacterized. The transcript has 3 exons. Lineage: Eukaryota; Metazoa; Arthropoda; Insecta; Diptera; Syrphidae. The record is from RefSeq and is a predicted model, not a curated record.
GUACAGUCUCGGUGUCGGUCUCGGUCUCGGUAGGAGCGCAGCGCAUUUUGAGCGCGUUAAAGAUUCUCUUUAAUGUAUCAAUGUAUGUAUACCUAUAUGAAUUGAAUUGAAUACAAGUAUUUGUGUGAACGUGUGUGUUGAUUGUCAAAAUUGACAAUGUCUUACUUGAAAAGUUUGAAUUUCUAGAAAGCAUAGAUAGAUCCAUAGCAACGGUUUGUAGUAUUCAUGUCAUGUGACUGAGACCUAAGUCACGAAACCAAAUCAACGGCCAACUUUAAGCAAUGAAAAACUAACUGUUAAUACGCCUACUGUAACUGUUAGAAAACAAUAGCAAAACAUUUUUGAUCACAUUUCCGUCAUACCUCAAUUGAAUAAGAUAACGGUCAUUAUCAUUGACCUUAUUAGGCAGAAAUAAUUGAAUGGAUACAUAUUCCGUAUAAAUAGAGGUACUCAAAGCUAUGGGUUAGGUUACUACCUACCGAUAGUUGCUCAAUUCUAAAGCAACAAUUUCAAUAACAUCUCUUUCUAACCUUUGACCUAAAAUGUGUUGAUAUUUGAAUUAAAUUGGAUUAAACCAUUUAAAUAAAUACAACUUAAUAGUUAUUUUAAUUAUAUAUUACUUUUGAAAAAAACAUAAAUUUCUUUGUUUCCAAAAAGCUCA